This 116-nucleotide ribosomal RNA is filed under the name Citrobacter koseri. Lineage: Bacteria; Pseudomonadati; Pseudomonadota; Gammaproteobacteria; Enterobacterales; Enterobacteriaceae. RNAcentral also lists the same sequence under 18 other names. The record is from RNAcentral.
CCUGGCGGCCGUAGCGCGGUGGUCCCACCUGACCCCAUGCCGAACUCAGAAGUGAAACGCCGUAGCGCCGAUGGUAGUGUGGGGUCUCCCCAUGUGAGAGUAGGGAACUGCCAGGC